Molecule: transfer RNA, 71 nt
Filed under: Loxodonta africana (African savanna elephant)
Lineage: Eukaryota; Metazoa; Chordata; Mammalia; Proboscidea; Elephantidae
Rfam family: tRNA
About the family: Transfer RNA (tRNA) molecules are approximately 80 nucleotides in length. Their secondary structure includes four short double-helical elements and three loops (D, anti-codon, and T loops).
Source: Rfam by way of RNAcentral
ACAGUGGUGGUUCAGUGGUAGAAUUCUUGUCUUCCUUGCAGGAGACCAGGGUUCAAUUCCCAGCCCAUGUA